Molecule: ribosomal RNA, 513 nt
Filed under: uncultured bacterium
Lineage: Bacteria
Description: partial 16S ribosomal RNA
Rfam family: Bacterial small subunit ribosomal RNA
Source: RNAcentral
GACGAACGCUGGCGGCGUGCUUAACACAUGCAAGUCGAACGAGAGCGUAGAGAAAGCUUGCUUUUUCUACAAUCUAGUGGCAAACGGGUGAGUAACGCGUAAACAACCUGCCCUACGGAUGGGGACAACGGCUGGAAACGGCUGCUAAUACCGAAUACGUUCCGAAAGUCGCAUGACUAUCGGAAGAAAGGAUGGCCUCUAUUUAUAAGCUAUCGCCGGAGGAGGGGUUUGCGUCUGAUUAGCUAGUUGGAGGGGUAACGGCCCACCAAGGCGACGAUCAGUAGCCGGUCUGAGAGGAUGAACGGCCACAUUGGAACUGAGACACGGUCCAGACUCCUACGGGAGGCAGCAGUGGGGAAUCUUCCGCAAUGGGCGAAAGCCUGACGGAGCAACGCCGCGUGAGUGAAGACGGCCUUCGGGUUGUAAAGCUCUGUUAUACGGGACGAAUAAUCUUGUGGUUAAUACCCAUGAGAAGUGACGGUACCGUAAGAGAAAGCCACGGCUAACUACGUG